UGAUGGCUCUAAGGUGGUGUUUGGUUCAGUUGUUAGCGCUAUGUGUGCUGUCACAGUGGAGUAAUUUGCUCCAGAUCCCAUGAGCGCUGAUGUUGCAGCGAAUUGGCUAGCAGUUUCAACAGCCAGUUUAACAAAGUAAUCAGCAGUUUCCUUGGCUGUUUCAGCUUCAGAAACCAGUGGCGCAGGCAGAGCUCCUUGAUAAACUCGCUCUAGCUGAUUAUGAGAUCCAAUGUGGACAACCUGGUAUCAAUGCUGCGGAAUGUGAAACUAUCAACUUCUGCUUUGAUGGACAGCAGUGUUAUGGCAGGGCAGUAUAGGUACUCUGCUUCUUCUGUGGAAGUCAACUCCAGCAGUAGCUACCCCUGGACCCCCUCAGGGUGGAGCUUAAACUGGGCAAUGGCCAACGUGUCAAAGGAUUUGCAGAAUGGGCUGAGGCCUGCGAGAGCCAGUGUUUGGGGUGUACAUUUUGGAGAGAUUUAACCCCAGCCUUGUCAUGAUGCUUGGAUGUUGCUGUGCAACUUCAACCUCCAGUCUGCCCCAGUGGGACCUUCUGGUUGAUGGAUGCCCUUACCAAGAUCAUUACCUGACCACAUUGGUGCAGGUCCCCCAUGUUCAUUGGUGCAACACCCCCCAGGUGUUCUAUGUUCUAGGCUUCUGCACAAGCCAUUUUAAGUGACCUAACAUUGGGCACGACAAAGGUUGUCAAAAUGAGGUUUAUGCUUGACUAGAGGUGGGAGAACUGAUUCUCUGAUGCAUAUCAGAAUUGUUUGUUUUUCAAUAUGCUGUGUUUUACUUCAGGUAUGCUUUCACUUAUGCCAUUUGGAAUGCAGUAUUAAAUGCAUGGAACUCGUAUACUGA
Molecule: long non-coding RNA, 858 nt
Organism: Puntigrus tetrazona (Sumatra barb)
Lineage: Eukaryota; Metazoa; Chordata; Actinopteri; Cypriniformes; Cyprinidae
Exons: 4
Source: RefSeq, a predicted model, not a curated record